Molecule: small nuclear RNA, 336 nt
Filed under: Microcebus murinus (gray mouse lemur)
Lineage: Eukaryota; Metazoa; Chordata; Mammalia; Primates; Cheirogaleidae
Description: 7SK RNA (ENSMICG00000035788.2)
Rfam family: 7SK RNA (bases 1-298)
About the family: 7SK was discovered as an abundant small nuclear RNA in the mid-70s but a possible function has only recently been suggested. Two independent studies have found that 7SK RNA binds the CDK9/cyclin T complex (known as elongation factor P-TEFb).
Source: RNAcentral
GGAUGUGAGGGUGAUCUGGUUGUGACGUCUGUCACCCCGUUGAUUGCCAGGGUUGAUUUGACUGAUCUAGCUGGCUAGGCGGGUGGCCCCUUCUUCCCUCACAGCGCCAUGUGUGUCCCUUCUGAAGCUGCACGCUUGGUUGAAGAGGACGACCUUCCCCGAUAGAGGAGGACCAUUCGUCUUCCGUCAAGGGUAUAUGAGCAGCUGCACUCCUCUGCUAGAACCUCUAAACAAGCUCUCAAAAUCGAGGUGUCAGCAAGGCCACAUUCCUUUCUGAAGGCUCUAGGGGAGGAUCUGUUCCUUCUUAUUUGGGUUAUUGGCAGAAUUCAGUUCCUU